GGUUGUAUGGUGUAGAGGUUAGCACACCGGAUUUUGACAGUGUUAAAUAUUCCGGCGACCCCGGUUCGAGUCCGGGUACGACCU
Pseudovirgaria hyperparasitica is the source of this 84-nucleotide non-coding RNA. The record is from the annotation of a RefSeq genome assembly. NCBI's taxonomy places the organism in Eukaryota, Fungi, Ascomycota, Dothideomycetes, Acrospermales, Acrospermaceae.